This 103-nucleotide ribosomal RNA is filed under the name Pogona vitticeps (central bearded dragon). The record is from RNAcentral. Lineage: Eukaryota; Metazoa; Chordata; Lepidosauria; Squamata; Agamidae.
AUCCUACCACCCUGAAAACUCCUGAUCUCAUAUGAUUUGGGAACUUGCACAGGAUUGGACUAGGUUAGUACCUAGAUGGAGACCAACUGGGAAUGACUGGGAU